RNAcentral lists this ribosomal RNA (776 nucleotides) under uncultured Neocallimastigales. RNAcentral describes it as "partial large subunit ribosomal RNA". It matches the Rfam family "Eukaryotic large subunit ribosomal RNA", at positions 24 to 644 of the family's 3401-position model. Lineage: Eukaryota; Fungi; Neocallimastigomycota; Neocallimastigomycetes; Neocallimastigales. The record is from RNAcentral.
UAUCUCUGUAGAGUCUGCAUAUCAAUAAGCGGAGGAAAAGAAACUAACAAGGAUUCCCUUAGUAACGGCGAGUGAAGCGGGAAGAGCUCAAAUUUGAAAUCUUCAAGGUUCUACCUUGACGAAUUGUAGUUUAAAGAAGUGUUUUCUGUUAGAUGAGUAGGCAAAAGUUCCUUGGAAUGGGACAUCAUAGAGGGUGAGAAUCCCGUAUUUGGUUAUUCAUUCUAGCUUUGUGAUAGCACUUUCAAAGAGUCGGAUUGUUUGGGAAUGCAGUCCAAAAUGGGUGGUAAAUUUCAUCUAAAGCUAAAUAUUGGCGAGAGACCGAUAGCGAACAAGUACCGUGAGGGAAAGAUGAAAAGAACUUUGAAAAGAGAGUUAAACAGUACGUGAAAUUGUCAAAAGGGAAGCGUUUGACACCAGUGUUGUUUUUCCGAAAAUCAAUUACGAAUGGCUUGAUUUUGUGUUGUAUUGACCUUAUCAGCUUUCUUCACUUUUUUCGAGUCUUUCUUAAUGCACUUUUCGGUUAACAAGUCAACAUCAAUUUCUUUUGUUGUAAAAGAGUAUUCGGAAGGUGGCUUUCUUUUCGGAGAAAGUGUUUAUAGCCCUAUACUUCUACAAUCGGAGAGAUUGAGGUCUGCAGCGUAGAUCCUUCGGGGUUAGAUACACUUGUGCUAAGUUGUAGCUUUUCAUAGACAACUUGUUGACUAUGUUUAGUCAUGCGGCUUACUCGCUUGUGCUAUUUUACCUACGCUUAGGAUGUUGAACUACUGAGACAUAGA